UACAGAGGGUGCAAGCGUUGUUCGGAAUUAUUGGGCGUAAAGCGCGUGUAGGCGGCUUUGCAAGUCUGGCGUGAAAGCCCCGGGCUCAGCCCGGGAAGUGCGCUCGAAACUGCACGGCUCGAGUGCCGGAGGGGAGAGUGGAAUUCCUGGUGUAGCGGUGAAAUGCGUAGAUAUCAGGAGGAAUACCGGUGGCGAAAGCGACUCUCUGGACGGCAACUGACGCUGAGGCACGAAAGCGUGGGGAGCAAACAGG
RNAcentral lists this ribosomal RNA (253 nucleotides) under uncultured bacterium. RNAcentral describes it as "partial 16S ribosomal RNA". It matches the Rfam family "Bacterial small subunit ribosomal RNA", at positions 524 to 776 of the family's 1533-position model. The record is from RNAcentral.